This 72-nucleotide transfer RNA is filed under the name Ictidomys tridecemlineatus (thirteen-lined ground squirrel). RNAcentral describes it as "Spermophilus tridecemlineatus (thirteen-lined ground squirrel) tRNA". It matches the Rfam family "tRNA". From Rfam's summary of the family: Transfer RNA (tRNA) molecules are approximately 80 nucleotides in length. Lineage: Eukaryota; Metazoa; Chordata; Mammalia; Rodentia; Sciuridae. The record is from Rfam by way of RNAcentral.
GAGGGUGUAGCUUAAUGGUAGAGCACUUGAUUAAAAUUCAUAAGGCCCUGGGUUCAAUCCCUAGCACCACUA